This is a long non-coding RNA of Homo sapiens (human), 356 nucleotides long. NCBI's taxonomy places the organism in Eukaryota, Metazoa, Chordata, Mammalia, Primates, Hominidae. The record is from Ensembl.
AAAAAAAAAAGCAUGGUGUCCUGGCCUGUGUGUCACACUCAGCAUUUGGCAUUUGACUUCUUCACACUCUUAAAAGCUAUUGAGGCAGUUCCAAGAUGGCUGAAUAGGAACAGCUCCAGUCUACAGUUCCCAGCAUGAGCGACACAGAAGAUGGGUGAUUUCUGCAUUUCCAACUGAGGGGCUUGAAUGGCAAAGAUGAAACCAAGAAUGCAAAUAUCUUAUCCAGAAAAAAUAUAUGGCAUGAGGCCUACUUGUCUGCACUAAGUGUCUCAAGGGGCAUGGCUUAGUCAAACCACAACUCCAUGGAACUUAAUGAAGCAGAGCACUUUAGUGAAAAGAGAAAAGAAGAAAGAAAA